RNAcentral lists this ribosomal RNA (34 nucleotides) under Puccinia digitata. RNAcentral's name for it is "partial 28S ribosomal RNA". Lineage: Eukaryota; Fungi; Basidiomycota; Pucciniomycetes; Pucciniales; Pucciniaceae. The record is from RNAcentral.
CCUCAAAUCAGGUGGGACUACCCGCUGAACUUAA